GACGAACGCUGGCGGCGUGCUUAACACAUGCAAGUCGAACGGUAAGGCCCUUCGGGGUACACGAGUGGCGAACGGGUGAGUAACACGUGGGUGAUCUGCCCUGCACUUCGGGAUAAGCCUGGGAAACUGGGUCUAAUACCGGAUAGGACCAUGGACUUCACGGUUUGUGGUGGAAAGCUUUUGCGGUGUGGGAUGGGCCCGCGGCCUAUCAGCUUGUUGGUGGGGUAAUGGCCUACCAAGGCGACGACGGGUAGCCGGCCUGAGAGGGUGUCCGGCCACACUGGGACUGAGAUACGGCCCAGACUCCUACGGGAGGCAGCAGUGGGGAAUAUUGCACAAUGGGCGCAAGCCUGAUGCAGCGACGCCGCGUGAGUGAAGAAGGCCUCGGUUGUAAGACUCUUC
This 402-nucleotide ribosomal RNA is filed under the name uncultured bacterium. RNAcentral describes it as "bacterial SSU rRNA". It matches the Rfam family "Bacterial small subunit ribosomal RNA", at positions 28 to 436 of the family's 1533-position model. The record is from RNAcentral.